ACCCGCUGAACUUAAGCAUAUCAAUAAGCGGAGGAAAAGAAACCAACAGGGAUUGCCUCAGUAACGGCGAGUGAAGCGGCAAAAGCUCAAAUUUGGAAUCUGGCUCUUUCAGGGUCCGAGUUGUAAUUUGUAGAAGAUGCUUCGGGUGUGGUCCCGGUCUAAGUUCCUUGGAACAGGACGUCAUAGAGGGUGAGAAUCCCGUAUGUGACUGGGUACCUACGCUCAUGUGAAGCUCUUUCGACGAGUCGAGUUGUUUGGGAAUGCAGCUCAAAAUGGGUGGUAAAUUUCAUCUAAAGCUAAAUAUUGGCCAGAGACCGAUAGCGCACAAGUAGAGUGAUCGAAAGAUGAAAAGCACUUUGGAAAGAGAGUUAAACAGUACGUGAAAUUGUUGAAAGGGAAGCGCUUGCAAUCAGACUUGCGCCUAGUCGAUCAUCCGGGCUUCUGCCCGGUGCACUCGAUUAGGCUCAGGCCAGCAUCGGUUUGGGUGGUUGGAUAAAGGCUUGGGGAACGUAGCCUCCUUCGGGGGGUGUUAUAGCCCCAGGUGCAAUGCAGCCUACCUGGACCGAGGACCGCGCUUCGGCUAGGAUGCUGGCGUAAUGGUUGU
This 604-nucleotide ribosomal RNA is filed under the name uncultured fungus. RNAcentral's name for it is "eukaryotic LSU rRNA". It matches the Rfam family "Eukaryotic large subunit ribosomal RNA", at positions 23 to 641 of the family's 3401-position model. Lineage: Eukaryota; Fungi. The record is from RNAcentral.